AUGGAGCACACUUGUCCAGCAUCAGCAGAGAACACAAAAGUUACUACUAAGUGGCUUUCCAAAGAAGUUGAGCAAUCUCUUAGAGCAGAUCCUAGAGCACCUGUGGAUUCACUUAUUAAAAACAGCAAAGUCAAGUUUUCAGUUGAUGUAUCAAAGAGUGUGGCCUAUAGGGCAAGGAGGAAGGCUAUGAAGGUUGUACAAGGUGACCAUAAGGAGCAGUACUAUAGACUGAGGGACUACCUACAAGCAGUUCUUGACACAAACCCUGGUAGCAGGUGUGUAGUUACAACAUUUGAGGACCCAGAAAACCCUGCCCCAACACCUAGAUUUAAGUACAUGUUCUACUGCUUGCAUGCAUCAAAGCAAGGAUUUCUUAAUGGUUGCAGGCCCUUUAUAGGGCUUGAUGGUUGCUUCAUCAAGCUAACCACUGGACAGCAAAUACUUGCAGCCACAGGAAGAGAUGGCAAUAACAACAUCUACCCCAUAGCCUUUGGUGUGGUUGAUAAGGAAGAUUCAGAUAGUUGGACAUGGUUCCUAACCCAGCUAAGAUGUUGCAUUGGAAGUGGUAGCAAAUUUGGAACCUACACCAUUAUUUCUGACAGGCAAAAGGUAUGCACCCUAUCUUAG
Molecule: ribosomal RNA, 627 nt
Filed under: Triticum aestivum (bread wheat)
Lineage: Eukaryota; Viridiplantae; Streptophyta; Magnoliopsida; Poales; Poaceae
Description: partial small subunit ribosomal RNA
Source: RNAcentral